ACCAUUGAUCAAUACCAAUCCUUCCACCAGGGGAGUUGGGAAGAUUUAGUGACUUGACAAACUGAGAUGGACCGACACCAGUAGACCAUACCAAGAGGCCAUAUGGGACUUCUGUACCGUCACUGAGAAAUAAUUUUGUGGGAUGCACCUCUUUCACUACACCUCGUGUGAGACGGACACCACACUUAGUCAAAUGAUUUGUUGCAUAUUGCCGUAGUCCAACAUCAAAGGAUGAUAGAAUUUCAUUGGCCUCAAUAAGGGUGACCUUUAUAUGAUCCUUAACAUGAGAAUACCGCUCCUGAACAUCUCUCAUGAUAAAAUCACUCAAUUCACCGCUAAACUCCACCCCUGUUGGACCACCUCCAAUAACGACACAGUGUAAUAAGCGGUUCUUCUCUUCUUCAGGUAUGCCUGGAUUUUCAGAUAGCAUGAGAUUCAAAAGGAGCUUCUUCCUUAUUUCUUGAGCAUGAUUCACUUCUCUAAGAAAAUAAGCAUGUUCAUUCACUCCCUUGAUACCAAAAGUCAGAGGCUCAGAUCCAGCAGCGAUAACAAGCUUGUCAUAUGCAACUUUAAACUGGUGAGGCUCCUGAGGUAAUACACCAUUGCUUACUGUCUCACAGUACACUUCGUGUUUGUCCGUGUCAAUGCCAGUGCAGGAAGCCAAAUAAAAAUAUGAGUUGGGACUUGUUGCCAAUGCAGACUGAAUCCGACUAACAGGCUCAGCUACAGAACGAAACUCCAGGGUUCCAACACAAGUUGAUGCAAGCAAAGGAGUGAAGACCAUGUGAUUCCUUGGUGAUAUGCAAACAACAUCAUAGAUUUUGGUGUCAAGUCCUUUCAUGAAUCGACAUGCAGCCCAUCCAGUGCCAAGGACAACCACCCUUGGCUUUUCACCAGGCCUUGUUGCUUCUAGACCUGGAUACCUUGGUUCUUCAUACUCAUUUUCUGAUUCUUCCAGAAUCCUCUCUGCAUUAGGAAAUUGAUA
This 985-nucleotide unclassified non-coding RNA is filed under the name Hevea brasiliensis (rubber tree). Lineage: Eukaryota; Viridiplantae; Streptophyta; Magnoliopsida; Malpighiales; Euphorbiaceae. The record is from RNAcentral.